This is a long non-coding RNA of Ctenopharyngodon idella (grass carp), 1960 nucleotides long. RefSeq lists it as uncharacterized. The transcript is spliced from 3 exons. NCBI's taxonomy places the organism in Eukaryota, Metazoa, Chordata, Actinopteri, Cypriniformes, Xenocyprididae. The record is from RefSeq and is a predicted model, not a curated record.
AGAAAAAGAGUUGCAAAACUACAUUAAUCGCUAGACGUCGCCUUCCACCAUGAAGGGCUAAUUAACAGCUUAGCCUCCCAUUGUUUUUAUGAACGCAAGCCCUGUAGCGCCAAGCCGCAUCCAGCCCCGUAGUACAAUAACUCUGCCUGCAGGAGGCGACAGCUGUGUGGAGCUCUAGGGGCGACACACACAGCUGUUCCAACUGUCCCUAGACAUCUGCGGCCGCCUGGUGCCAUCUGGAAAUUUAGGAGGGCAGCUUAGGACCUGUACAGAUCCUCCUACCCCCUGCAACCUCCAGCACGCUUCCCAUAACUAACCCUCCAUUUUGAGGUUGAUGUAACACAAGGUUGGGCAAAUACAUUGCUAACAGCAAACAUCAAACUCUUCGUCCACAUUCUUCUGGGAAACAUACCAAAUGCUUCACCGGAGUCAGCGCAAAAUUGAAGUAUGGAAGGAUCCUGAAUGAUGAUCAUCAACAUCUGAGUUAAUAAAAGGCAAACACUUACCAAUAACCCACAAAUUAGCGAAUACUCAAAUCCAACCCAAGUGAACAAGCCCUUAUCCUAAAAAGUCAUAGACGUGAUGAAAAGGACACCCUACAGUAUUAACUCCUCAGACCAACAUGAUGAACACCAAUGGGUCAUGUACAGGGUCUGCAGUCAGGGCAGAGCCCCACCACAAAUGCGAAGGACACCAGUGACCCAACAGCUUUUAAAUUACAGGCUGAGACAGAAAGAAGGUGACUGGAAGAGGAACCAUUAUCCCUGCAGGUCUGCAGGUCAAGCCUUCCCUCAUUAAGGCACAGGUCAAAGCCACAUAUCUCUUCCACUAAGGUGAGGGUCACUGCAAUGCUCCCUCCAGUCCCGGGUCAACUAGAGGUCUCCAGCCACUGAGGUCCAUAGCAAUACAAUAAAGCAAUCAACCGGGGUGCCGGACCCUGGUCAAUAAUAUACUCCAAGGCCACAGGGGGUCACCACCUGCUCUCUGGCCUCUUAUUGGAAAGUCCUCCAAGGUCUUCAACAGUGGACUAGGGUUUUAAUUUCAAGCCCAAGGGGAGUGCAGAUCCGUAAUCAUAUUCUCAAUCCAAAGCAAUAAAACAAUUGAUGCAUUGCAUAGCGCGUUGUUUGGCUUGAUGUACGCUGGAUCUUUGUCUUCAUUAAAAUAAUGCAGCCUUACAACGUCAACCCAGUCAUCAGUGGCUGGCUCUGAUGUCAUCAGUUUUUCAUUCCACCAGACGAUUUCAUUUACAAUAUCUCUCUAAGCACACUUGCAAACGCCUCAACUACUGAAAGACUGGCACAAAGCCACGGUGUUGGACGUCUGUUCUCAUGAAGUCUUUUGCCUGUCGUUUUGUAAAUCCAAGUGGCUUGGUCAGAGGAAACAAAGAGAACAACACUCAAAAUCUAAGAUGUACAGUCUCCUACACCGAAACCCAACACCAGAAACGUCCUGCUGGGGAAAGUGCAGACCUGGGCUUUAUCUGUUGAACUUAGACUGUGUCUCUAGUUCUGGCUGAAUUGGACAAGUACACAGAGCUAGACACAUUCCUCAGAGGACCUGAUCCUGGAAUAAAUGGAGAGGGAACAGGGGGAGGGGACUUCUUUCUCUUCUCAUCCUUCUCUUUUCAUUCCAUCUCCCUGAGUCCUCAUGAAUGGAGGCAGACAGCAUCCAUGCAGUUGCCAGGAUGAGACAGCAGUUAAGACUUGGCUGCUCUCCCUCUCUGCUUAAAGGCAGAUAUCGUGUUUCUAACAGCUCCGACUGGUUGGAUACAAAAGGGAGCUCAAAGAAAAGAGGAGGUGAACCUAUCUGCUUUUUUAGGCUGCACCCUAACCCCCAGCUCCUGACUACUUCCAAAAAAGCUUAAUGAAUAACUUGUAAUAAAAUGUUAAAAGUAACUAUAUGUAUAAGUUUAUUAAAAAAAUAGAGGAUGAGUAUUGUUCAUUGAUAUGUUCAUAACAUA